RNAcentral lists this ribosomal RNA (253 nucleotides) under uncultured bacterium. RNAcentral describes it as "partial 16S ribosomal RNA". It matches the Rfam family "Bacterial small subunit ribosomal RNA", at positions 524 to 776 of the family's 1533-position model. The record is from RNAcentral.
UACGGGGGGGGCAAGCGUUGUUCGGAAUUACUGGGCGUAAAGGGCUCGUAGGUGGUCAACUAAGUCGGACGUGAAAUCCCUCGGCUUAACCGGGGAACUGCGUCCGAUACUGGAUGGCUUGAGUGCAGGAGAGGAACGCGGAAUUCCAGGUGUAGCGGUGAAAUGCGUAGAUAUCUGGAGGAACACCGGUGGCUAAGGCGGCGUUCUGGACUGCAACUGACACUGAGGAACGAAAGCCAGGGGAGCAAACGGG